CAAACCACAGGGUGCCUCACUCAAUCCCUUUUCCUCCUCGUCUCCCCCCUCUCUCGUACGCCGCCGCCACCGCCUAGGGUCCCAAUUCACACCGCCUCCGCCGCUGCCGCUGAGGGCCAUCGGAGGGCCCGUCCCUCCUUCCAUGUGGAUCCACCGCCAAAGUCGUCCCUCCUUCCACCAGCUGGCACCCCAGUCGCGAGCGUGUGAUCCUCCUUCCACCGGUCACCGAGUGAGGCCACCUCGCCCGCUCCCUUCCAUGGCGCCACUGCCCCAACCCAUGCCCAACUCCCUCUUCCCUCAUUUCCAUGGCAGCAGAUCUGGGGGGGGGGGGGCAAGGGCCCUUCGCUCUCGGUGGUCUGAAGCGAGGCACGCGGCCUCUGCUCCCUCCGCAUCCAGCCAACUAGCCACUAGGAACAUGGCGGCAAUGAAUGGGAAGAAGAAGGCCGUUCACAAGACCACGGCCACUGAUGACAAAAGGCUUCAAAGGACCUUGAAAAGUGUAGGAGUGAACACCGUUCUUGGUAUCGAAGAGGUCAGCAUUGUCAAGGAUGACGUAGUUAUCCAGUUUCGAAUUCAGAAGUGCAAGAAUCCAUCACUUCAAACACCUGGGUUGUCUGUGGAACACCACGGACUAAAAAUCCCACUGCGUCGCCUUUCUCCCAACGGUUGCGCCGAUCGACCCGUACCUCUAACCAAUUGAUUCGGCAACACAGAGAGGAUGCUUCAAAGAAGCGUGAUGAGGAAAAAGUCGGAAUGACAUACAAGAGGACCAGGGAUGAACCAUGAAGAUGGCAGUUUGCGUCAGCUGGACAUUUUGUGUAAUGGAGCCAAAAUAAUGUGUCUUUUAGCUAUCAUUUUGUAAACCUUAUGGUAUCUUGUCAACUGGGUAUUAUGUGUAAUGGAGCAAACAAUGAAUAGAGGUCUAUCAUUUUGUAAA
RNA transcript from Triticum aestivum (bread wheat), 937 nucleotides. RefSeq lists it as uncharacterized. The record is from RefSeq and is a predicted model, not a curated record. The transcript is spliced from 6 exons. Lineage: Eukaryota; Viridiplantae; Streptophyta; Magnoliopsida; Poales; Poaceae.